UACGGAGUGUGCAAGCGUUACUCGGAAUCACUGGGCAUAAAGCGCGCGUAGGCGGGUAUUCAAGUCGGUUGUGAAAUCCCCCAGCUCAACUGGGGAACUGCAUCCGAUACUGUCUGUCUUGAGGACGAGAGGGGAGAGUGGAACUUCUGGUGGAGCGGUGAAAUGCGUAGAUAUCAGGAGGAACACCGGUGGCGAAGGCGGGUCUCUGGGCCGGAACUGACGCUAAGGAGCGAAAGCGUGGGGAGCGAACAGG
This 253-nucleotide ribosomal RNA is filed under the name uncultured bacterium. Its description in RNAcentral is "partial 16S ribosomal RNA". It matches the Rfam family "Bacterial small subunit ribosomal RNA", at positions 524 to 776 of the family's 1533-position model. The record is from RNAcentral.